AUGAACUUUGUGCUCCCACGGCGCGGCCCAAAACCAAAGGGCUCAAUGUCUCCCCCUGGCGGCGGAGGGCGGCGCUGCAGCUCCUGCUCUGCUCGGAUCCACAGAGUCCCGUUAUGGGGGUGGGGGGUUCAUUGCGGGGGGGGGGGGUUUAUUUGGGGUCCCCCCCCCUCCUCAGCUCUUUUCUUUUUGCUUUUUUUUUUUUGUCCUUUUUUCCCAUUUUUUCCUCACAUUUUUUGCUUUUUUUUCAUGUUUUUUUUUCUCCUUUUUUUCCUCGUUUUUUUUCCUCUUUUUUUGAUCCAUUUUUCCUCCAUUUUUGAUGCAUUUUCUGCUCCUUCUUUUCCCUUUUUCUUCCUCUUUUUUUUUGCUCCUUUUUCUCCAUUUUGCCUUUUUCCACCUUUUUUCCUCUUUUUUUUCUCCUAUUUUCUCCAUUUUUGCUUUAUUUUCCUCCAUUUUCUCCUUUUUUUCCUCUUUUUCUCCUCCUAUUUUCUCCAUUUUUCUUCAUUUUCCUCCAUUUUCUCCUUUCUUUCCUCCUUUUUGCCUCCAUUUUUCCUCCAUUUUCUUCCAUUUUUUCUCCUUCUUUUCACUCUUUUUCCUUUUUUCCUCCUUUUUUCCCUCCUUUUUUCCCUUUUUUCCCCAUUUUCCCCCCUUUUUCCUGCUUUUUUCCUCCAUUUUUCCUCUUUUUUAUCCCCGAUUUUUCUUCCUUUUUUCCUCUUCUUUCCCAUUUUCUCCUUUUUUUCCCUCCUUUUUUUCUCUUUUUUUCUCCUUCUUUUCCCCAUUUUCCUUUAUUUUUUCUCCUAUUUCUUUCAUAUUUUCUCCCUUUUUCCCCAUUUCCUCCUUUUUUUCCUCUUUUUUUCCUUCUAUUUUCUCCUUCUUUCCUCUUUUUCCCCCAUUUUUUCCUCCAUUUUUUCUUCACCUUUUCCCAUUUCUCUCAAUUUUCCCCCUCUUUCCCCCCCAAUUCUCCUUUUUAUCUCAUUUUCUCCCUCUUUUCUCUUUUUUCUCCUAUUUCCUCCUAUUUUCCUGCUUUUUUUUCUCUAUUUUUCCUCCAUUUUUUCUCCUCCUUUUUCCCUUUUCCUCCUUUUUUUCUUUUUUCCUCAUUUUUCCACCAUUUUCUCCUUUUUCCCUCUUUUUUUGCUCCUGUUUUUACCUAUUUCCUCAUUUUCCCCCUUUCCCCCUUUUUUCCCCAUUUCUUCUUCCUUUUCCCCCUUUUUUCCGAUUUUCCCCCUUCUUUCCCUUUUUUCCCCUCCAUUUUUCCACCAUUUUCUCCCUUUUCCUCCAUUUUCUCCUUCUUUUCCUCUUUUUUCUCCUUUUUUUUCCUCCUUAUUCCCCCUUUUCUACUCAUUUUUGACCCCCCAUCCUCUUUUUUGGUCCCAUUUUCCCCCUUUUUUGCCCCAUUUUGUCCCUUUUUCCUCCUUUCUUUUCACCUCUUCCCUCUUUUCUAAUUCUUUUUUCCUACAUUUUUCCCCAUUUUUGCCCUUUUUCCUCCCUUUUUUCCUCCAUUUUUGCUCUUUUUCUUCUCCUUUUUCCCACUUCUUUUUUCCACCCCCCCCCUUUUUAAAUCUCUUUUUCCCAAUUUUCUUUCCCCUUUCCCCCCCAUUUCCCUCCUUUUUUUUCUUUUUUCCUCCAUUUUCCUCCAUUUUUUCUCCUUCUUUUCACUUUUUUUCCUUUUUCCUCCUUUUUUCCUCCGUUUUUCUCCCUUUUUCCCCUCAAUUUUCCUCCUUUUUUUCCCUCCUUUUCACCCAUUUUUCUCCUUUUUCCCCCCUUUUCUCCUUUUUCUCUCCCUUUUUUUUUCACUUUUUUCUCCUUUUUUUUCUCAUUUCUUCCCUUUUUUCUUCCCUUCUUCGUUCAAAAUCUCCUUUUAUUUUUUUGUGUCCUUUUUUCUUCUUUUUUUGCCCAUUUUUUGUUCCGUUUUUCUUUUCCAUCCCGUUCUGAGAAUCGACUUUCAUUGACUUUGGCAUCGUGGGGGGGGGGGCGG
This 1972-nucleotide long non-coding RNA is filed under the name Coturnix japonica (Japanese quail). RNAcentral's name for it is "lncRNA (ENSCJPG00005004997.1)". The record is from RNAcentral. Lineage: Eukaryota; Metazoa; Chordata; Aves; Galliformes; Phasianidae.